UGGGCUGCUACAGAUGAUUAUAUGAUAUGCAGACAUUUGGCCUCAGCUUCAGCAGGGAAGAAUUCCUCUAAUUUCAGCUCGGAGGAAAGCUUCUGGACAGCUUUGGCUUUUUUACAUCAGUACCAUACAGGCAGUACCAACUCCUGUUCCAUUCACCACAUUUUUCUGGACCAUGGCUCUCCACACUAUGUUUCCUACUUAAAUAGCUGCAUUUGCAAUAAGUUUUGUCAGAGUGUCUUGCUUAUGGAAACCAAUAAUUGUCCUUAAUUACUCUCUCCUCUCAUUGAGCAGAUGUUUAUUUUUCUAUAGCAAUUGUUAUCUCUAAUUAUUGUCUUUAAAAUAAACACAGUUUUAUAGCAAGUGA
This is a non-coding RNA of Pelodiscus sinensis (Chinese soft-shelled turtle), 364 nucleotides long. NCBI's taxonomy places the organism in Eukaryota, Metazoa, Chordata, Testudines, Trionychidae. The record is from RefSeq and is a predicted model, not a curated record.